UUCGUGAAAACUCCGGUGCUCUGGGAUGAGUCUGCAUCUGAUUAGCUAGUUGGGGGUGUAAUGGACCACCAAGGCGACGAUCAGUAGCUGGUUUGAGAGGAUGGUCAGCCACAAUGGGACUGAGACACGGCCCAUACUCCUACGGGAGGCAGCAGUAGGGAAUUUUGCGCAAUGGGGGAAACCCUGACGCAGCAACGCCGCGUGAUUGAAUAAGCCCUUCGGGGUGUAAAGAUCUGUCAGUGGGGACGAAACUUGACGGUACCCACAGAGGAAGCAUCGGCUAACUCCGUGCCAGCAGCCGCGGUAAUACGGGGGAUGCGAGCGUUGUCCGGAAUCAUUGGGCGUAAAGAGUUCGUAGGUGGUUUGUUAAGUUAGGUGUUAAAGGCUGAGGCUCAACUUCAGUAUGGCACUUGAUACUGGCAGACUUGAAUGCGGUAGAGGUAAAGGGAAUUCCUGGUGUAGCGGUGAAAUGCGUAGAUAUCAGGAGGAACAUCGGUGGCGUAAGCGCUUUACUGGGCUGUAAUUGACACUGAGGAACGAAAGCCGGGGUAGCAAAUGGGAUUAGAUACCCCAGUAGUCCCGGCCGUAAACGAUGGAUACUAGGUGUUGCGGGUAUCGACCCCUGCAGUGCCGAAGCCAACGCGUUAAGUAUCCCGCCUGGGGAGUACGCACGCAAGUGUGAAACUCAAAGGAAUUGACGGGGACCCGCACAAGCGGUGGAACAUGUGGUUUAAUUCGAAGCAACGCGAAGAACCUUACCAGGGCUUGACAUCUAACUAACCCGAAUGAAAGUUUGGGGUGCUCUUCGGAGAGUGUUAAGACAGGUGGUGCACGGUUGUCGUCAGCUCGUGUCGUGAGAUGUUGGGUUAAGUCCCGCAACGAGCGCAACCCUCGUCGUUAGUUGGUAUACUUGGUAUACUGAGUAUAACCUCUCUAGCGAGACUGCCGGUGAUAAACCGGAGGAAGGUGAGGACGACGUCAAAUCAUCAUGCCCCUUAUGCUCUGGGCUACACACGUGUUACAAUGGCCGGUACAACGAGCCGCCAACUCGCGAGAGUGAGCAAAUCUCUAA
This 1072-nucleotide ribosomal RNA is filed under the name uncultured bacterium. RNAcentral's name for it is "bacterial SSU rRNA". It matches the Rfam family "Bacterial small subunit ribosomal RNA", at positions 197 to 1278 of the family's 1533-position model. The record is from RNAcentral.